RNAcentral lists this ribosomal RNA (495 nucleotides) under uncultured bacterium. Its description in RNAcentral is "bacterial SSU rRNA". It matches the Rfam family "Bacterial small subunit ribosomal RNA", at positions 791 to 1284 of the family's 1533-position model. The record is from RNAcentral.
UAGUCCACGCCGUAAACGAUGAUUACUCGAUAUUGGCAACAUACUGUCAGUGUCCAAGCGAAAGUGUUAAGUAAUCCACCUGGGGAGUACGACCGUAAGGUUGAAACUCAAAGGAAUUGACGGGGGCCCGCACAAGCGGUGGAGCAUGUGGUUUAAUUCGAUGAUACGCGAGGAACCUUACCAGGGCUUAAAUGUAGGACGACAGACUCGGAAACGAGUCCUUCUUCGGACGUCCUACAAGGUGCUGCAUGGUUGUCGUCAGCUCGUGCCGUGAGGUGUCGGGUUAAGUCCCAUAACGAGCGCAACCCCUAUUCUUAGUUGCCAGCGAGUAAUGUCGGGGACUCUAAGAAAACUGCCAGUGUAAGCUGUGAGGAAGGUGGGGAUGACGGUCAAAUCAUCACGGGCCCUUACGUCCUGGGGCUACGACACGUGCUACAAUGGUAGGUACAGAGGGGCUGGCUACCUGGGCAACAGGGAUGCUAAUCUCUAAAGCCU